GCCUGGAUAGCUCGGUUGGUUAGAGUGUGGUGCUGAUAAUGCCAAGGUUGCAGGUUCACAAACGUACACGGGAGGCA
Non-coding RNA from Podarcis lilfordi (Lilford's wall lizard), 77 nucleotides. The record is from the annotation of a GenBank genome assembly. NCBI's taxonomy places the organism in Eukaryota, Metazoa, Chordata, Lepidosauria, Squamata, Lacertidae.